Molecule: unclassified non-coding RNA, 311 nt
Filed under: uncultured Agaricales
Lineage: Eukaryota; Fungi; Basidiomycota; Agaricomycetes; Agaricales
Description: sequence contains 5.8S rRNA gene
Rfam family: 5.8S ribosomal RNA (bases 1-53)
Source: RNAcentral
GAACGCACCUUGCGCUCCUUGGUAUUCCGAGGAGCAUGCCUGUUUGAGUGUCAUUUAAUUCUCAACCUUAUUAGCUUUUGCUGAUAAUGGCUUGGAUGUGGGGGUUCUCUUUUGCUGGCUUCUUUUCACAGAGGUCAGCUCCCCUGAAAUGCAUUAGCUGGUGCCCCGCGUGGACUGUCUAUUUGGUGUGAUAAUUAUCAACGCCGUGGAUGUCUGCAAUUGGUUUUGGCACUGCUUCUAACUGUCUGUUCAUUUGGACAACACAUGACAAUUUGACCUCAAAUCAGGUAGGACUACCCGCUGAACUUAAG